CUCCUUUAGAGAGAAGACCUUAUCAGAGUAGAGGAGAAUUACCCCCCUAUCAACAGCAGUCUACUUCAUUAUUUUUAGCUCACCAAGAAGACCAACAAAGCUACCAAAAUAUCAGCCAUUGUAAGUUUUUAUUUAUUUAUUUGAUUAUCAUUCACAGCAUUCAGCCU
Megalops cyprinoides (Indo-Pacific tarpon) is the source of this 167-nucleotide long non-coding RNA. RefSeq lists it as uncharacterized. The record is from RefSeq and is a predicted model, not a curated record. Lineage: Eukaryota; Metazoa; Chordata; Actinopteri; Elopiformes; Megalopidae. The transcript is spliced from 3 exons.